CCUACGGGAGGCAGCAGUGGGGAAUUUUGCGCAAUGGGGGAAACCCUGACGCAGCGACGCCGCGUGGAGGAUGAAGGUCUUCGGAUUGUAAACUCCUUUUGUCGGGGAAGAUAAUGACGGUACCCGAUGAAUAAGCCACGGCUAACUCUGUGCCAGCAGCCGCGGUAAGACAGAGGUGGCAAGCGUUGUUCGGAAUUACUGGGCUUAAAGGGCGCGUAGGCGGUGGAGUAAGUCUGAGGUGGAAGAUUAGGGCUUAACCCUAAAAUUGCCUUGGAAACUGCAUCACUUGAGUCAGCGAGGGGAUGGCGGAAUUCCAGGUGUAGCGGUGAAAUGCGUAGAUAUCUGGAGGAAGGCCGGUGGCGAAGGCGGCCAUCUGGCGCUGAACUGACGCUGAGGCGCGAAAGCGUGGGGAGCAAACAGGAUUAGAUACCCUGGUAGUCCACGCUGUAAACGAUGGGCACUAGGUGUGGGGGGUAUCCACUCCUCCCGUGCCGCAGCUAACGCAUUAAGUGCCCCGCCUGGGGAGUACGGCCGCAAGGUUAAAACUCAAAGGAAUUGACGG
RNAcentral lists this ribosomal RNA (562 nucleotides) under uncultured bacterium. RNAcentral describes it as "bacterial SSU rRNA". It matches the Rfam family "Bacterial small subunit ribosomal RNA", at positions 338 to 916 of the family's 1533-position model. The record is from RNAcentral.